UUCUUUCAUUUUUCAACCAAGCUCAAUCAGUUCUGUGAGCAUUUUGAUUAGCAGUGUUUUGAACUAUGCAUCGGAUAGGUUUGUCUAUCUCCUCAUGACUUAGCCCUCUUUGGGGCUUUAAUCUGUUCUUUUAUUUGUGUCACAUUUUUCUGUCUUGGUGCAUCUGUUA
Molecule: long non-coding RNA, 169 nt
Organism: Phyllostomus discolor (pale spear-nosed bat)
Lineage: Eukaryota; Metazoa; Chordata; Mammalia; Chiroptera; Phyllostomidae
Exons: 3
Source: RefSeq, a predicted model, not a curated record